AGAGUUUGAUUAUGGCUCAGGAUAAACGCUGGCGGCAUGCCUAACACAUGCAAGUCGAACGGGGUUUAUAUGAUGGAACUCUUCGGAGGGAAGACAUGUAAACCUAGUGGCGGACGGGUGAGUAACGCGUGGGGAACCUGCCCUGUACCGGGGGACAACAGCCAGAAAUGGCUGCUAAUACCGCAUAAUCCUGCGCUGCCGCAUGGCAGCGCAGGGAAAACUCCGGUGGUACAGGAUGGUCCCGCGUCUGAUUAGCUUGUUGGCGGGGUAACGGCCCACCAAGGCGACGAUCAGUAGCCGGCUUGAGAGAGCGGACGGCCACAUUGGGACUGAGACACGGCCCAGACUCCUGCGGGAGGCAGCAGUGGGGAAUAUUGCACAAUGGGGGGAACCCUGAUGCAGCAAUGCCGCGUGGGUGAAGAAGUACCCCGGUAUGUAAAGCCCUGUCAGCAGGGAAGAAAAUGACGGUACCUGACUAAGAAGCCCCGGCUAACUACGUGCCAGCAGCCGCGGUAAUACGUAGGGGGCGAGCGUUAUCCGGAUUUACUGGGUGUAAAGGGAGCGCAGGCGGCGUGGCAAGUCAGAUGUGAAAACCCGGGGCCCAACCCCGGGACUGCAUUUGAAACUGCCAUGCUGGAGUGCCGGAGAGGCAAGUGG
RNAcentral lists this ribosomal RNA (657 nucleotides) under uncultured bacterium. RNAcentral describes it as "bacterial SSU rRNA". It matches the Rfam family "Bacterial small subunit ribosomal RNA", at positions 8 to 664 of the family's 1533-position model. The record is from RNAcentral.